RNAcentral lists this ribosomal RNA (431 nucleotides) under uncultured bacterium. RNAcentral describes it as "partial 16S ribosomal RNA". It matches the Rfam family "Bacterial small subunit ribosomal RNA", at positions 29 to 507 of the family's 1533-position model. The record is from RNAcentral.
AAUGAACGCUGGCGGCAGGCCUAACACAUGCAAGUCGAGCGCCCCGCCAGGGAAGCGGCUGACGGGUGAGUAACGCGUGGCAACGUACCUUUUGGUUCGUAACAACCCCGGGAAACUGGAGCUAAUACCGGAUAAGCUCUAACGGAGAAAGAUUUAUCGACGAAAGAUCGGCCCGCGACUGAUUAGCUAGUUGGGUAGGUAACGGCGCACGAAGGCGACGAUCAGUAGCUGUUCUGAGAGGAUGAGCAGCCACACUGGGACUUGGAAACGGCCCAGACUCCUACGGGAGGCAGCAGUGGGGAAUAUUGGACAAUGGGGGCAAGCAUGAACCAGCCAUGCCGCGUGAGUGAUGAAGGCCUUAGGGUUGUAAAGCUCUUUUGUCCGGGAAGAUAAUGACUGUACCGGAAGAAUAAGCCCCGGCUAACUUCGUG